RNAcentral lists this transfer RNA (72 nucleotides) under Gadus morhua (Atlantic cod). RNAcentral describes it as "tRNA-Und (NNN) (tRNA-Und-NNN-3-1)". It matches the Rfam family "tRNA". From Rfam's summary of the family: Transfer RNA (tRNA) molecules are approximately 80 nucleotides in length. Their secondary structure includes four short double-helical elements and three loops (D, anti-codon, and T loops). Further hydrogen bonds mediate the characteristic L-shaped molecular structure. tRNAs have two regions of fundamental functional importance: the anti-codon, which is responsible for specific mRNA codon recognition, and the 3' end, to which the tRNAs corresponding amino acid is attached (by aminoacyl-tRNA synthetases). tRNAs cope with the degeneracy of the genetic code in two manners: having more than one tRNA (with a specific anti-codon) for a particular amino acid; and 'wobble' base-pairing, i.e. permitting non-standard base-pairing at the 3rd anti-codon position. Lineage: Eukaryota; Metazoa; Chordata; Actinopteri; Gadiformes; Gadidae. The record is from Rfam by way of RNAcentral.
GCUUUGGUGGUUCAGUGGUAGAAUACUUGCCUGCCCGCGCGGGAGGCCCGGGUUCGAUUCCCGGCCAAUGCA